This 24-nucleotide transfer RNA is filed under the name Poa cookii. RNAcentral's name for it is "partial tRNA-Thr". Lineage: Eukaryota; Viridiplantae; Streptophyta; Magnoliopsida; Poales; Poaceae. The record is from RNAcentral.
GCUCUACCUCUGAGCUAAGUGGGC